UUUUAUUAUGCGGUAGGGUGCUGCUGGGCUGCCUCUCGGUGAUGUGUUUUGCUCUGCUUUUUCAGGUACGGUGCGGGCCUUUCCCAGGCGAGGCUGAGGAUUUGAGGUGAAGUGGAAUGGAUGCCACGGGCAGCGUCACAGCCACAAUGCUGGAGCGUGGCUUUGGCACAGUACAGGUGAUAAAGGCAACUGUGGUGACUGAAGGGAGAUCAGCGUGGAUGCGGCUGCCAUUGAGGAUGGCUCUUGAGGAGCGAUGGUGAUGCCCAGCAUUUGAACAAUGCUGAGCAGUGUUCUGAGUGGGCCCAAGGGAGCUGGAGGAAGAGAGGGGCAUGCCCCAAGAAGGCGUGGAGCCUUGCGGGGAGCAGGUUGCUCACAUCCAGGAGGAGCAGGGUGAGGUGAGCAUCAGUCCGGGAGCGGACGUAGAGCGUGGCGUAGGGCCAUCACCUCGUCGGCGCUGUCCCCGUCGCCCAGCGCCGUUCCUGUUUUACAGGUGUGUGGCGGACCUCGGUGUGGGGAGCUAUAGCCCAGCAGUUGGGAUGGGAGAGCGGAGCAGG
Molecule: long non-coding RNA, 554 nt
Organism: Dromaius novaehollandiae (emu)
Lineage: Eukaryota; Metazoa; Chordata; Aves; Casuariiformes; Dromaiidae
Exons: 5
Source: RefSeq, a predicted model, not a curated record